RNAcentral lists this ribosomal RNA (494 nucleotides) under uncultured bacterium. RNAcentral's name for it is "partial 16S ribosomal RNA". It matches the Rfam family "Bacterial small subunit ribosomal RNA", at positions 28 to 507 of the family's 1533-position model. The record is from RNAcentral.
GACGAACGCUGGCGGCGUGCUUAACACAUGCAAGUCGAACGGAAAGGCCUGCUUUCCCUUGUGGAUUGCGGGUACUCGAGUGGCGAACGGGUGAGUAACACGUGAGUGAUCUGCCCCCAACUUGGGUAUAAGCCUGGGAAACUGGGUCUAAUUCCCGAUAGGACUGCAGGGUGGUGCCUGUGGUGGAAAACGAUUUUCUAGUGGUUGGGGAUGAGCUCGCGGCCUAUCAGCUUGUUGGUGGGGUAAUGGCCUACCAAGGCGGCGACGGGUAGCCGGCCUGGGAGGGUGGACGGCCACAUUGGGACUGAGAUACGGCCCAGACUCCUACGGGAGGCAGCAGUGGGGAAUAUUGGACAAUGGGCGGAAGCCUGAGGCAGCGACGCCGCGUGGGGGAUGACGGCCUUCGGGUUGUAAACUCCUUUCGACCGCGAGGAAGCCACCUGGUUGGAAGGGUGGUGACGGUAGUGGUAGAAGAAGCACCGGCUAACUACGUG